RNAcentral lists this ribosomal RNA (560 nucleotides) under Sebacina sp. Seb1L. Its description in RNAcentral is "eukaryotic LSU rRNA". It matches the Rfam family "Eukaryotic large subunit ribosomal RNA", at positions 90 to 631 of the family's 3401-position model. The record is from RNAcentral. Lineage: Eukaryota; Fungi; Basidiomycota; Agaricomycetes; Sebacinales; Sebacinaceae.
CGAGUGAAGAGGGAAAAGCUCAAAUUUUGAAUCUGACGUCUUUGGCGUCCGAGUUGUAAUCUAGAGAAGUGUUUUCCGCACCGGACCGUGCACAAGUUCCCUGGAACGGGGCGUCAUAGAGGGUGAGAAUCCCGUAUAUGGCACGGACUACCGGAGCUCUGUGAUACACUCUCAACGAGUCGAGUUGUUUGGGAAUGCAGCUCAAAAUGGGUGGUAAAUUCCAUCUAAAGCUAAAUAUAGGCGAGAGACCGAUAGCGAACAAGUACCGUGAGGGAAAGAUGAAAAGCACUUUGGAAAGAGAGUGAAACAGUACGUGAAAUUGUUGAAAGGGAAGCGUUUGAAGUCAGUCGCGUCCGUCGGGAUUCAGCCUGGCUUCUGCCUGGUGUACUUCCUGUCGGAUGGGUCAGCAUCAGUUUUGGCCGAGAGAGAAAGGCUUGGGGAAUGUGGCUGUCUUCGGGCAGUGUUAUAGCCUCUUGUUGUAUGUCUCGGUCGGGACUGAGGACUGCAGCGCGCCUUACGGCCGGGGUUCGCGCCCUCGGUACGCGCUUAGGAUGCUGGCA